Molecule: ribosomal RNA, 253 nt
Filed under: uncultured bacterium
Lineage: Bacteria
Description: partial 16S ribosomal RNA
Rfam family: Bacterial small subunit ribosomal RNA
Source: RNAcentral
UACGUAGGGGGCAAGCGUUGUCCGGAAUCAUUGGGCGUAAAGAGCGUGUAGGCGGCCAGAAAAGUCCGCUGUGAAAACUCGAGGCUCAACUUCGAGCUGUCGGUGGAAACUUUCUGGCUAGAGUCCGGAAGAGGAGAAUGGAAUUCCUGGUGUAGCGGUGAAAUGCGCAGAUAUCAGGAAGAACACCCGUGGCGAAGGCGGUUCCCUGGGACGGUACUGACGCUGAGACGCGAAAGCGUGGGGAGCGAACAGG